This 3263-nucleotide long non-coding RNA is filed under the name Lactuca sativa (garden lettuce). RNAcentral's name for it is "long non-coding RNA (LSAT_LNC002903)". Lineage: Eukaryota; Viridiplantae; Streptophyta; Magnoliopsida; Asterales; Asteraceae. The record is from RNAcentral.
AAUCUCAACUUCUUUCGCCUUUCCGAUCUAAGUGGCAUUUUUCAUUUCCAAUUUGUGGAUCACGUCAAUGGUGAGUAUUAUGCUUCUCCAAUUACAUUUUCCCCUUCUGUUGACAAACUUCUCUCGGUCUUAAUUUCAUAAAUUUCGAUCUGCAGAAACAUUUUGUUAGUUGCGUAUAGACUUCAUUGAUGCUCAAAAUCACAAUUUCUUCAAAGUAAACAGACAUCGAUACUUUUUGCAUUAUUAUUAUUGUUCUAAAACGGUGAACGAGAUGGAGGAUGAUCAUGUUGAAGAUACAGAGGUUGAAGUCCUCUCUUCAACGUGGCCUGAAGACAUUAAUGAAGCUGGAAAAAAGUUCAGUGUAGAAAAACCAGGACUCCAUGAAGAUAUGUUAGAGGAUGUUGCAUUCAUUGAAGAGCCUAGUAUAGUUGACUUCACAAGGUUAGUAGAACUCACAAGUUACAGUGAAAAGGGGUCCUCACAGUUAGCUUACCUGGUAAAAAACUGGGAAUAUAAACAAGAAAAUGCUGUGAGACUUUUGAGGGAAGAGCUUGAAAACUUGAGAAAACAACAACAUGAAGUUAAGCUUAAAAAUUUAGAUAUCUUUGAACAAAAUCGUUUUGAAGGUGAUAAACGUCCGGUUUCUGUGCUGGAUGAAGGUUAUGAAAAUUUUCAAGAUGUACCCGAGAAAAUAAAUGAUGUUAUUGCUGAAGAUAAACGGGUAGAAAUAGAUGCUGAAUAUGAUACAGUUAUAUAUUGGAAGCAAAAGGCAUUGCAUUUGGGAAAAUUGUUGGAAGAAAGUGUUGAGAGAGAACAUAUUCUUUUGGAGAAGUUGGAGGAAAGCAUUGAGAAUCUUGAAAAACAAUCAUCGCCUGUUGAAGAACUGUCCCAGAUCUUGAAAAGAGCUGAUAAUUUUUUACAUUUUGUUCUUCAAAAUGCACCCGUUGUUAUUGGCCAUCAGGUAAUUUGAUUUCAAGCAAACCCUUUUUCUUUUUUUCCUUUUUUGCCCUUUUUACAUUAUGAUUGUCAUAUCUCAGGACAAUGAGUUGCGAUAUCGCUUCAUUUAUAAUCAUUUUCCAAGUUUACAAGAAGAGGUAAUAUGAUCAUCAUCAAAUUUUAUAAAUUCAAAUUUAUUGUUUGUUGUAAGUUCAUAGAUUUUUGAACCAUGUCUUUUUUUUUCCUAAUACUAUGCACAGGAUAUAAUCGGGAAAACAGAUGAGGAAAUAUUCAAAGGUGGUGGUGUAAAGGAAUCCCAAGACUUCAAAAGAGAAGUUCUUGAAAGAGGAUUACCAGCAAAAAGAGAAAUUACUUUUGAAAACGAAUUAUUUGGUGACAAAACAUUUUUAUUAUAUGUUGAACCUGUUUUCAGCAAAGAUGGAGAAACAAUUGGUGUUAAUCACAUGGGCAUGGACAUCACUGAUCAGGUACGUUCUUUGUUUGGUCUAUUAUAGCAUCCUACUUUUAUCUUUUCUUAUUACAACAUUGUGCUUUGAAAAAUCUACCCAAUUCACUUUUAUAAUUUGAUAGAUUUUCAAAGUAAUGAAAGUAGGAUNNNNNNNNNNNNNNNNNNNNNNNNNNNNNNNNNNNNNNAUUUAUCAUGUGACAGGUUAGAAGGAGAGAAAAGAUGGCAAAACUCCGGGAAGAAAUAGCUGUGCAGAAGGCUAAAGAGGAAGAACUUAAUAAAACCAUUAAUAUUACAGGUUGGUAACUUUUCUUUCUCUUAAACCUUAAAAUUUUUUCUAUAUAUGAAAAAGUAUUAUCGAACAUUUUGCCUAAAUCAAUUUCUUUUAGAGGAAACUAUGAGAACGAAACAAAUGUUGGCAACCAUGUCACAUGAGAUAAGAUCUCCAUUAUCUGUGGUCAUUAGCAUGGCAGAGAUUUUAUCAACUACAAAACUCGAUAAGGAUCAAAAACAACUCUUGGGUGUUAUGUUAUCUUCUGCUGAUUUAGUUCUUCAACUUAUAAAUGACAUUCUUGAUCAUUCCAAAGGCGAGUCAGGUUACUUUUCAACCCUUUAUAAUUGGUAUUUUUUUUAAAGACUGAUGUUUAUACUGUGUAGUAUUUAAAAGUUUAGAUUAUUUUCAGGAGUUAUGAAGCUGGAAACUACAAAAUUCAGGCCUAGAGAAGUAAUCAAUGAUGUUCUUCAAACUGCUACUGCAUCAUUGAAAAAGAAGCUGAUUUUGGAAGGACACGUAGCAGAUGAUGUCCCAUUGGAGGUUUAAUCUCUAAUAUCGAUACAACUUGCUAUAAAAAGAAAACAUUUAUGUUAACAUUUGCUAAAACAAUUUCAGAUUAUUGGUGAUGUUCUAUGGAUUCGACAGAUUCUCACCAACUUGAUCAGGUAUUUCUAACCAGGUCAAAAUGGUCCAUACACAACAAAUUCUAAACUCAUAAAUUUUGUGCAGCAAUGCUAUUAAGUUUACUCACCAAGGGAAGGUCGAGAUAAAUCUAUAUGUAAUAUCAGAUCCAUAUCCUCAACAUGAACCGAAGAAGAUAAACACAGAUGACUCAUCGAUCUCAGCAAAAAACAAUGGGCAUGAGGAGAAUGAACCUGACUCGCAUGAAACGGUAGUCUGGAUACGCUGUGAUGUUAAAGAUACAGGAAUCGGAAUACCAGGUACCUUUCAAAUUCCAAAUUUCUCAUUUUCGUAGCUUCAUGUUAACUAUAAUAUUUUAUUCAUCGAUUUGAUCGAUGUCAGAAACUGUAUUGCCGAAUUUAUUCAAAAAAUACACGCAAGCCAGUGCAAAUACAGCUAGGAAAUACGAUGGGACUGGAUUAGGUUUAGCGAUCUGCAAACAAUUGGUAAUGAUUCUGGAUUCGGAAUUGAAAUCGAAAUUGGAACGUGAGAAAAAAAAAUUGGUUUUGACCUAAAAUCCAUGUGAAUCGUGAUUUAUCGCAGGUUGAGCUGAUGGGAGGUCAUCUGACUGUAUCGAGUAAAGAACAUUGUGGAUCUACAUUUACUUUCGAUUUACCUCAUAAAGUUUCACAUCCGUGGUUCAGAUGAUAUGGCCGAUAACGACGAGUCUGAAGAUGACGAUAUCACUUGUGAUGUCGGAGCAGAGAAGUCGAGAAACUAGAGCUCUUUGGUAACUGUUAAAUAUAGGUCGACUUUAACGAAAAUUACGAAGGUUUGUUUCUAACUAGGGGUAUUCCGCGUUUAGUUCUACUUUAAUAAAUUUGUUAUUUGUUUACGUGUAGUGAAACUGAAAGCAGUAAGACAAACUUAUGAAAAUAAGUUGCUGUUCCUUACAUUUAAUCAAUC